AAAAGGAAGCAGAAGAUCAACGUAAGACAGAAGUUAGGGACCCAAACCAGGAGUAGAGAGCAGCCAGUCCACUGGGAGAAGUCCAAGGGCUGUGGGAGCCAUCUCUUCGAGAAGACGUGAUGCUAGAAUUCAAAGGGAUCAUCUAAAAGGACUGAGCACGCCUGUACCAGCGACCAAGGCUGGGAGAACAAGCCGAUUCCUUCAACCGCGGCACGCAGGCCUCUGCAUCAUAAUUCCCUGCUUAUCCCUCUGCCUGUCUUCUUGAAUCUGAGCUCUACAAGCACAGGGACCAGGCCCCAUUUAUCUUGUUGCCCCGGCACCUAGCCCAGUACCUGUCACACCGCAGGCCCUCAAUUACAUGUUUGUGGAAUGAAUCAUUGUAGGUUCAAGCUGGGAGGGAACUUUCAUUUGAACCCUAUCAUUUUACGGGUUAGGAAACUGAGGCCCACAAAGAAGAAAUGAUGGGUUCCCUAGUGCUCAGGUGGUGGGUGGUAGUUCCAGGGUUACCCUGUCAACCUCUGGAUGCUCUGUCCAUCGCUCCUGCCACACCAGGGCUGCCUUCUAAGCUGCCUAGAAGUGACAGUUAUGGGAGCUGAGCAGCUCUCUUGGGGAGAUGAUUGAAAGAGAGGGAGAGGGAACAAGAAGAGGGAAGACAAGCCACCCGGGAGAGGGAGGUGUUAGAGAGGUGGGUGCGGCUCCUACUAGGAUGGUGUAAUGUUGCCCAAGCCGAGGGAACAGCAUCUCCCAGAAGAGGAGGUGGCCAGCCGGGACCCAGCAGGGGGCUCCCCCCUCUGAGGCCCCCCUGGAGCUCAGAGUUCAAGAACACACCCCGUGGCUGACAUCCGGGACCAGGAAACUGCUAUUGCUGCUGCCAAACCUGCUCUCAACAACCAGAAGGCUGGAGAAUGGCCCCUGGAACGCUCCUGCAGAAAAACUGCUUUUCCACCGUCUCACCUCUGAGCCAAAGCCAGCAGAAGGGGCGCAGCCUGCUGUCUUCCAAAUGGCACCGAGUGCGUCGACAUUGGGCGGAAACCAGUUUGCACCUGAAUCCCCAUUGCCAGUGAGUUUUGAGAUAUGUGGCUUUCUGCUCUCUGACGUCUCCAGAGCAGAAGGGUGGAGCAGAGGUCGAGAGUGACACACCACCGACUCCUCUGUUGUUUCCAUGUCACCCCUC
This 1174-nucleotide long non-coding RNA is filed under the name Equus caballus (horse). Its description in RNAcentral is "lncRNA (ENSECAG00000060249.1)". Lineage: Eukaryota; Metazoa; Chordata; Mammalia; Perissodactyla; Equidae. The record is from RNAcentral.